RNAcentral lists this ribosomal RNA (690 nucleotides) under uncultured Staphylococcus sp. Its description in RNAcentral is "bacterial SSU rRNA". It matches the Rfam family "Bacterial small subunit ribosomal RNA", at positions 62 to 734 of the family's 1533-position model. Lineage: Bacteria; Bacillati; Bacillota; Bacilli; Caryophanales; Staphylococcaceae. The record is from RNAcentral.
UCGAGCGAACGGACGAGAAGCUUGCUUCUCUGAUGUUAGCGGCGGACGGGUGAGUAACACGUGGAUAACCUACCUAUAAGACUGGGAUAACUUCGGGAAACCGGAGCUAAUACCGGAUAAUAUUUUGAACCGCAUGGUUCAAAAGUGAAAGACGGUCUUGCUGUCACUUAUAGAUGGAUCCGCGCUGCAUUAGCUAGUUGGUAAGGUAACGGCUUACCAAGGCAACGAUGCAUAGCCGACCUGAGAGGGUGAUCGGCCACACUGGAACUGAGACACGGUCCAGACUCCUACGGGAGGCAGCAGUAGGGAAUCUUCCGCAAUGGGCGAAAGCCUGACGGAGCAACGCCGCGUGAGUGAUGAAGGUCUUCGGAUCGUAAAACUCUGUUAUUAGGGAAGAACAUAUGUGUAAGUAACUGUGCACAUCUUGACGGUACCUAAUCAGAAAGCCACGGCUAACUACGUGCCAGCAGCCGCGGUAAUACGUAGGUGGCAAGCGUUAUCCGGAAUUAUUGGGCGUAAAGCGCGCGUAGGCGGUUUUUUAAGUCUGAUGUGAAAGCCCACGGCUCAACCGUGGAGGGUCAUUGGAAACUGGAAAACUUGAGUGCAGAAGAGGAAAGUGGAAUUCCAUGUGUAGCGGUGAAAUGCGCAGAGAUAUGGAGGAACACCAGUGGCGAAGGCGACUUUCUGGUC